RNAcentral lists this ribosomal RNA (438 nucleotides) under uncultured bacterium. Its description in RNAcentral is "bacterial SSU rRNA". It matches the Rfam family "Bacterial small subunit ribosomal RNA", at positions 561 to 1000 of the family's 1533-position model. The record is from RNAcentral.
UAAAGGGCACGCAGGCGGUGACUUAAGUGAGGUGUGAAAGCCCCGGGCUUAACCUGGGAAUUGCAUUUCAUACUGGGUCGCUAGAGUACUUUAGGGAGGGGUAGAAUUCCACGUGUAGCGGUGAAAUGCGUAGAGAUGUGGAGGAAUACCGAAGGCGAAGGCAGCCCCUUGGGAAUGUACUGACGCUCAUGUGCGAAAGCGUGGGGAGCAAACAGGAUUAGAUACCUUGGUAGUCCACGCUGUAAACGAUGUCGAUUUGGGGGUUGAGCUUUAAGCUUGGCGCCCGUAGCUAACGUGAUAAAUCGACCGCCUGGGGAGUACGGCCGCAAGGUUAAAACUCAAAUGAAUUGACGGGGGCCCGCACAAGCGGUGGAGCAUGUGGUUUAAUUCGAUGCAACGCGAAGAACCUUACCUACUCUUGACAUCCAGAGAACAUUC